Molecule: ribosomal RNA, 449 nt
Filed under: uncultured bacterium
Lineage: Bacteria
Description: partial 16S ribosomal RNA
Rfam family: Bacterial small subunit ribosomal RNA
Source: RNAcentral
AACGAACGCUGGCGGCAUGCCUAACACAUGCAAGUCGAACGAGAUCUUCGGGUCUAGUGGCGCACGGGUGCGUAACGCGUGGGAAUCUGCCCUUUGGUUCGGAAUAACAGUUGGAAACGACUGCUAAUACCGGAUGAUGACGAAAGUCCAAAGAUUUAUCGCCAGAGGAUGAGCCCGCGUGGGAUUAGCUAGUUGGUGUGGUAAAGGCGCACCAAGGCGACGAUCCUUAGCUGGUCUGAGAGGAUGAUCUGCCACACUGGGACUGAGACAUGGCCCAGACUCCUACGGGAGGCAGCAGUGGGGAAUAUUGGACAAUGGGCGAAAGCCUGAUCCAGCAAUGCCGCGUGAGUGAUGAAGGCCCUAGGGUUGUAAAGCUCUUUUACCCGGGAUGAUAAUGACAGUACCGGGAGAAUAAACCCCGGCUAACUCCGUGCCAGCCGCCGCAGUAA